This 449-nucleotide ribosomal RNA is filed under the name uncultured bacterium. Its description in RNAcentral is "partial 16S ribosomal RNA". It matches the Rfam family "Bacterial small subunit ribosomal RNA", at positions 29 to 523 of the family's 1533-position model. The record is from RNAcentral.
AACGAACGCUGGCGGCAGGCCUAACACAUGCAAGUCGAGCGAGGUAGCAAUACCUAGCGGCGGACGGGUGAGUAACGCGUGGGAACGUACCCCUUUCUACGGAAUAGCCUCGGGAAACUGGGAGUAAUACCGUAUAAGCCCUACGGGGGAAAGAUCUAUCGGGAAGGGAUCGGCCCGCGUUGGAUUAGGUAGUUGGUGGGGUAAUGGCCUACCAAGCCGACGAUCCAUAGCUGGUUUGAGAGGAUGAUCAGCCACACUGGGACUGAGACACGGCCCAGACUCCUACGGGAGGCAGCAGUGGGGAAUCUUAGACAAUGGGCGCAAGCCUGAUCUAGCCAUGCCGCGUGAUCGAUGAAGGCCUUAGGGUUGUAAAGAUCUUUCGUGGGGGAAGAUAAUGACUGUACCCCAAGAAGAAGCCCCGGCUAACUCCGUGCCAGCCGCCGCAGUAA